Molecule: ribosomal RNA, 440 nt
Filed under: uncultured bacterium
Lineage: Bacteria
Description: partial 16S ribosomal RNA
Rfam family: Bacterial small subunit ribosomal RNA
Source: RNAcentral
CCUACGGGGGACAGCAGUAGGGAAUAUUGCUCAAUGGGGGAAACCCUGAAGCAGCAACGCCGCGUGGAGGAUGAAGGUUUUCGGAUUGUAAACUCCUUUUGUUAGAGAAGAUAAUGACGGUAUCUAACGAAUAAGCACCGGCUAACUCCGUGCCAGCAGCCGCGGUAAUACGGAGGGUGCAAGCGUUACUCGGAAUCACUGGGCGUAAAGAGCGCGUAGGCGGGAUAGCAAGUCAGAUGUGAAAUCCUAGGGCUUAACCAUAGAACUGCAUUUGAAACUGUUAUUCUAGAGUAUGGGAGAGGUAGGUGGAAUUCUUGGUGUAGGGGUAAAAUCCGUAGAGAUCAAGAGGAAUACUCAUUGCGAAGGCGACCUGCUAGAACAUAACUGACGCUGAUGCGCGAAAGCGUGGGGAGCAAACAGGAUUAGAUACCCGUGUAGUC